Hemicordylus capensis (graceful crag lizard) is the source of this 1437-nucleotide long non-coding RNA. RefSeq lists it as uncharacterized. The record is from RefSeq and is a predicted model, not a curated record. Lineage: Eukaryota; Metazoa; Chordata; Lepidosauria; Squamata; Cordylidae. The transcript has 7 exons.
AAUAGGAAGAUGGAAAGAAGGAAAGAAGGAAGGAGAGAAAAGAGAGAGGGGGAGGGGAAUGGACAAUAGAAACAAGGAGGGAGGGAGGGAAAGUAGGAAAGAGAGAAGAAAGGAAGGAAGGAAGAAGAAAGAAAAAGGAGAAAGAAAUGAGGAAGAAGGACCAAAAAAAGACAGAAGGGAGGGAGGAGCAGCCAGCCCCAAAGAGCGAGCCCAUUAAAGAAAGAAAAGAGGAAAAGACCAAGAAAACAGAAAUAUGGGAGUUAGCAGAGGUGGAAAAAAGGAAGGAAAAGAGGGAGAGGGAGAGAGAAGAAAGGAAGGAAAGAAAACAGAGGAAGAGAGAGAAAGGGAAGAAAAAGGAAAGACAGAAAGAGAAAAAGAGAAAAGGAAAGGAGGGCGAAAGAGAGACGGAGAAGGAAUAAAGGAAACAACAACAACAAAAAAAGAACACCUGAAGCCAAGCCACUGGGAUCUUUGGACUUCACCAGUGUCACGGGCAAGGUGAUGCACCACUAUAGACUCAGCCAAGGAGAGGAAAGAAAUAUCAUACGAAGAAGUUCUGAUGAAAGAUCCUAGUUUCAGUCAGCUUCCUCUGCAUUCCCCCUGCUUCCCUGAAUCCAACAUUUGGCUCUCUUGGACCUAAUAUCCUUUCCUAAUCCUUCUCUUCCUAUACUGAACAUCAGGCUCCCUUAGCACACAGAAUACCUUGAAGUCAAUACAUGGUGGAUAAAUAAACAGAACUAGACGGAGACCUUGCCCUGGGGUUAUGAACUUUAAAAAAAAGACUGAACAAGCAAACAAAAGAAGAACACCAUCUCAAUUUGACAGCAGUGGAAGAGUUUGUAACAUUGUGAACAUCCUGUCUGCUGAGCUGAUUCUGGGACAGGUAUUCCCUGUUUACUAUCCAUGGGUGCCUUAGGACUUGGGCUGCUGUUAAGCGCUGAUGAGGAUCUACAUGAAGCAUCUUGGAGACAACAUCCUGUUAAAGAGGAAUUGCAGAGAGAAAGAAAAUGUAUGAUUUUGUUAUUUUUCUGAGGAUAACUUCCAAUUUUUCAAGAUGGAAUACUGAAAUAAAACACUAAGAAAUCAUCAUCUAAGAAUUGGUUCUGCAGUUCUUUUUGAUCAUGUUAAUGAAGUUCUGCUGCAGGAGGAAGGAAAAAAGAAAAGCCGUCCCGCACAAAACCCCAAACUCAAAAACUCAACCAGGAUAGUAUCCUGGAAAUGUAUAUAUGAAAGUCUGCCAGCAGACUAGAGAUGCUAAGAAAUCCCCUGCACUUACCCUGCUAACAUGGUAUACAACAGAAUCCCUAAGCUCCAGAUAUCGCAGGCUGCAUCAUAGCCUUGUCGUUUCAGGACCUACAGAUAAGUAAAAUGGAACAACAAAGACAUUAUUAUAUUCUACAAAAUUUGGAACUGCUGAAUUAAAAGUUGAUUUCUAUU